AUAAAAAAAAACUACCAACAGCAGCGCUGAUCAUGAAACUAUGGGAUUCUUGUCAAAUCAAGGUUUGCAGAGUCAAGAGAGACAGGAAUCCAACAAUUCAUAAUGGCUCCUGGGAUGCAGAAAGAUAUAACUGCUGUUUGUGUCUGAGUCUCCUGUACCUCCAACCACCCCAAUCUCCGAUCACUUGGCCUAAUAUACCAUCAUCACCAUCACAUCUUAGCCUUUCAAGUGUGCUUGCUGUUUCCCA
Molecule: non-coding RNA, 247 nt
Organism: Chiloscyllium plagiosum (whitespotted bambooshark)
Lineage: Eukaryota; Metazoa; Chordata; Chondrichthyes; Orectolobiformes; Hemiscylliidae
Source: RefSeq, a predicted model, not a curated record